This 216-nucleotide ribosomal RNA is filed under the name Triticum aestivum (bread wheat). RNAcentral describes it as "partial small subunit ribosomal RNA". Lineage: Eukaryota; Viridiplantae; Streptophyta; Magnoliopsida; Poales; Poaceae. The record is from RNAcentral.
AUGGCACAAUUGAUGCUCAUGUCCGGCGUCAACGGCAUGGCCUCUGGUAGGAGCCUGCUGCAGGCCGCCCGACCGUCGUCGGCGUCCACGCCCUUCUCGCAGCUCUCGCUCUUGUCGUCCUCAGCGGCGUACUACAAGCACAUGUCUUCCCUCUCCGUCCGGACCAUGGCCCUGUUCAGCAAGUCCAAGACAAGGCGACGCCGGCCAAGAAUGUGA